Nitrospirae bacterium GWC2_56_14 is the source of this 182-nucleotide non-coding RNA. NCBI's taxonomy places the organism in Bacteria, Pseudomonadati, Nitrospirota. The record is from Rfam.
ACCGUUGUGAGGCGGGGUUUGAAGGAAGCGGAACGCAAAUCCUCGGUUCGAAGAACAUGAAGCGCAUAAGAGGCAGCCGCGUCUGUGGGCGAGAAGGCCAUAAGAUUCAAAGCCCGAUAGUUAUCCAGAAGGCGCGGAAGCAGGGGGCUGUGCAAUUAACUGUGCAUCAAUUGGACUUAUGC